Molecule: ribosomal RNA, 628 nt
Filed under: Bacillus cereus
Lineage: Bacteria; Bacillati; Bacillota; Bacilli; Caryophanales; Bacillaceae
Description: bacterial SSU rRNA
Rfam family: Bacterial small subunit ribosomal RNA
Source: RNAcentral
UGGGUAACCUACCCAUAAGACUGGGUAUAACUCCGGGAAACCGGGGCUAAUACCGGAUAAUAUUUUGAACUGCAUAGUUCGAAAUUGAAAGGCGGCUUCGGCUGNCACUUAUGGAUGGACCCGCGUCGCAUUAGCUAGUUGGUGAGGUAACGGCUCACCAAGGUCGACGAUGCGUAGCCGACCUGAGAGGGUGAUCGGCCACACUGGGACUGAGACACGGCCCAGACUCCUACGGGAGGCAGCAGUAGGGAAUCUUCCGCAAUGGACGAAAGUCUGACGGAGCAACGCCGCGUGAGUGAUGAAGGCUUUCGGGUCGUAAAACUCUGUUGUUAGGGAAGAACAAGUGCUAGUUGAAUAAGCUGGCACCUUGACGGUACCUAACCAGAAAGCCACGGCUAACUACGUGCCAGCAGCCGCGGUAAUACGUAGGUGGCAAGCGUAUUCCCCGGNANUUAUUGGGGCGUAAAGCGCGCGCAGGUGGUUUCUUAAGUCUGAUGUGAAAGCCCACGGCUCAACCGUGGAGGGUCAUUGGAAACUGGGAGACUUGAGUGCAGAAGAGGAAAGUGGAAUUCCAUGUGUAGCGGUGAAAUGCGUAGAGAUAUGGAGGAACACCCAGUGGCGAAGGCGA